This 77-nucleotide transfer RNA is filed under the name Arcobacter nitrofigilis DSM 7299. Its description in RNAcentral is "tRNA-Ile2 (CAT) (tRNA-Ile2-CAT-1-1)". It matches the Rfam family "tRNA". From Rfam's summary of the family: Transfer RNA (tRNA) molecules are approximately 80 nucleotides in length. Their secondary structure includes four short double-helical elements and three loops (D, anti-codon, and T loops). The record is from RNAcentral. RNAcentral also lists the same sequence under 5 other names. Lineage: Bacteria; Pseudomonadati; Campylobacterota; Epsilonproteobacteria; Campylobacterales; Arcobacteraceae.
GGGUCUAUAGCUCAGUUGGUUAGAGCACUCGGCUCAUAACCGAGUGGUCCUGUGUUCGAGUCACAGUAGACCCACCA